UAAAGAAAAUGAUUGUAGGAAUUUAAGUAAUUACGAAAUAAUAUGGAAUAAUAAAACCUAAUAAUGAAUAAUAAUCCAAUUCGAUAAUAAAAUAAUAAAUAACAUUAAACUUAUUAAAAUUAUUCUAGGGAAUAAUUAUACAACAUUACUUAAUUACUUCAAAGAAUUAACAUGCAAGUAUUAUUUGGUUCUCAUAUCACAUGCAC
This 206-nucleotide long non-coding RNA is filed under the name Prunus persica (peach). Its description in RNAcentral is "long non-coding RNA (PPER_LNC004506)". The record is from RNAcentral. Lineage: Eukaryota; Viridiplantae; Streptophyta; Magnoliopsida; Rosales; Rosaceae.